Molecule: ribosomal RNA, 420 nt
Filed under: uncultured Parapedobacter sp.
Lineage: Bacteria; Pseudomonadati; Bacteroidota; Sphingobacteriia; Sphingobacteriales; Sphingobacteriaceae
Description: bacterial SSU rRNA
Rfam family: Bacterial small subunit ribosomal RNA
Source: RNAcentral
GGAUGAAUAUUGGUCAAUGGACGCAAGUCUGAACCAGCCAAGUCGCGUGCAGGAAUAAGGCCCUAUGGGUCGCAGACUGCUUUUGCAUGAGAAUAAAAAGUGGGACGUGUCCCACCCUGUAGGUAUCAUGCGAAUAAGCAUCGGCUAACUCCGUGCCAGCAGCCGCGGUAAUACGGAGGAUGCAAGCGUUAUCCGGAUUCAUUGGGUUUAAAGGGUGCGUAGGCGGCUUGGUAAGUCAGCGGUGAAAUUCCAGUGCUCAACAUUGGCCGUGCCGUUGAUACUGCUGGGCUUGAAUGCGGAUGCCGUGGGAGGAAUGUGUGGUGUAGCGGUGAAAUGCAUAGAUAUCACACAGAACACCGAUUGCGAAGGCAUCUCACGAAUCCGCAAUUGACGCUGAGGCACGAAAGUGUGGGAUCAAAC